GCGUCGGUGGUUCAGUGGUAGAAUACUCGCCUGCCACGCGGGUGACCCGGGUUCGAUUCACGGCCGACGCA
RNAcentral lists this transfer RNA (71 nucleotides) under Rhipicephalus microplus (southern cattle tick). RNAcentral's name for it is "tRNA-Gly". It matches the Rfam family "tRNA". Rfam says of the family: Transfer RNA (tRNA) molecules are approximately 80 nucleotides in length. Their secondary structure includes four short double-helical elements and three loops (D, anti-codon, and T loops). The record is from Rfam by way of RNAcentral. Lineage: Eukaryota; Metazoa; Arthropoda; Arachnida; Ixodida; Ixodidae.